RNAcentral lists this ribosomal RNA (309 nucleotides) under uncultured Planctomycetota bacterium. Its description in RNAcentral is "bacterial SSU rRNA". It matches the Rfam family "Bacterial small subunit ribosomal RNA", at positions 29 to 351 of the family's 1533-position model. Lineage: Bacteria; Pseudomonadati; Planctomycetota. The record is from RNAcentral.
AAUGAACGUUGGCGGCGUGGAUUAGGCAUGCAAGUCGAGCGGAAAGGCCCCGCAAGGGGUACUCGAGCGGCGAAAGGGAUAGGAACACGUGGAUUACCUGCCCUCUGGACUGGGAUAGCCGCGGGAAACCGCGAUUAAUACCAGAUAACGUCUCCGGACCAAAGGUGUGAUUCCGCCGGAGGAGGGGUCCGCGUCCCAUUAGCUAGUUGGUGAGGUAAUGGCCCACCAAGGCAACGAUGGGUAGCGGGUGUGAGAGCACGACCCGCAUCACUGGGACUGAGAUACUGCCCAGACACCUACGGGUGGCUG